Molecule: transfer RNA, 68 nt
Filed under: Aptornis otidiformis (North Island adzebill)
Lineage: Eukaryota; Metazoa; Chordata; Aves; Gruiformes; Aptornithidae
Description: tRNA-Tyr
Rfam family: tRNA
About the family: Transfer RNA (tRNA) molecules are approximately 80 nucleotides in length.
Source: RNAcentral
GGUAAGAUGGCUGAGUGUUGAGGCGUUAGGUUGUAAACCUUUUUACGGGUUCGAUUCCCUUCUUAUCG